Ceratotherium simum simum (southern white rhinoceros) is the source of this 460-nucleotide non-coding RNA. Lineage: Eukaryota; Metazoa; Chordata; Mammalia; Perissodactyla; Rhinocerotidae. The record is from RefSeq and is a predicted model, not a curated record.
CCUCCCUCUCCCCUCCAAUCUUUGGGCGAGGGGCCUGGGCGGAGUGAUUCUCAGGUCCUGAGACCCGCCCCAUCGGGUGGAAAACUGCCCUCGAGCUGGCUUGGUCUGGCGGGGGACGCAGGACUCAGACCCUGGGGGAAUGGAGGAGGGGGCGGGUCCUGGGGGUGAUGUCCAGCCACAUUAGGGUGCCGUUUGCCUUGACGGCCCUCGGCCCACGCGCCCGGGCCGGGCAGCACUGCCCCGGAACUGAGACGAAAGAAGGAAGCAGGACAGAGCGCCAAUCUAUUUCGCGCAGCCAGACCGGAAUCUAGGCUGAUUCGAUCUCGCCUCUACAGCCGAGAUUGCACCACUGCUUUACCCGUCCUGCAUUCCCGUUUGGGACACACUCGCAGUGCUACUAUAAAACGGCUGCCCUGAAUCCACAAGCCGCUUAAAAAUCGAUCUUUGUGUGUGCGGCUCU